This 1603-nucleotide long non-coding RNA is filed under the name Mizuhopecten yessoensis (Yesso scallop). RNAcentral describes it as "uncharacterized LOC110456267, transcript variant X1". Lineage: Eukaryota; Metazoa; Mollusca; Bivalvia; Pectinida; Pectinidae. The record is from RNAcentral.
UGCCUCAGACAUUGCAAACUAUAUUGAUGGCCCACUAGCUGUGAUCCACACCACCAGGCUGACAACAAAGAGGAUUGUUUAUUUGUUACCACUUGAGAAAAACCUAUCGAUCUAUAUAAAGAAAAGGAGCUGUCUGUUCCGUAAGAAUAUGUAAACAAGAAUUUUCUCAGUGAGCCGUUUAACCAACAAGUUGCCAUCUAACAACCAGGAUGCCAUUGACUUUGUCCUUGAACUAUGACCUCACUGCUUCCAGUUAGGUGUAAACAGGAGGCAGAAACAUUCCUAGCAGGCUCAUCAAACACCAACUGACAGCUUAUGACAAGACACAAGAUUCAACUUUAGAUGCAAGCUGUUCAAACAAAGUCAGAAGCUCUUUGACUGAUCUAUCUGAUUGAGUGGCUAUCAUUUUCCCAGCAAAGCUGGCAGAUUUUUAAUUAGACAGUGAGAUCAAAAAGUGACAUGGAUUCAUCUGUUAGGGUGAAUAUACUGUGCAUAUCCUUCCUACUGUGACUUCUUAUUUGAAAAAGCAAAAUAAAAAGGAAGAAAAAAAUUCAGUAACAUGAAACCACAGGUCAUGGUCACCUGGACCCUUGACUUGUUUAAAACACUUCUACAUAACCCACUGCCUGGUGAAAGCUUCUAUGUGAGACAGCUGCCUGUCCAUGGUAAUUUGUGACUGCAUGGCCAAGGUCCAGCAAUGCCCUGCUCCAGAUUUCUUACUUCUUUGUAACUUCUUUGGAAAUAUUUCUUUGAUUAACUAAUUCAAUUCAUAAAGUUUUUAUUUCAGGUUUUUUAAACAUUUUAAAAUUACAGCCAUGAGGUCAUAACAUAAUGAUAUCAAUAUCGUGAAAAAAACAAGCUUUGCUAACAGAUGUUCCUGCUUCUGUAAACAAUCGUAACUCUAUACAGGACCAAAGGUCUCCCUGUAAAAACCAGUUCCUAUCAUCAUGAUAAUUAACCAACAUUUUUUCAAAAUUCUUUCUGAUCCUUACCUAAAUUAAAAAAAACGUUGUGAGGAACUUUAAAAACAUGAUUAUUAGUAAUAAAUGUUCAUUUCUUUUAAGAAGUCUGUGACCAUGAAGAAGUACAAAGUCCCUUGGUCAAUCUUUGUACACAAUCACAGUUAUUACCUUAAUUACAUUUAAACCCCUCCUUGAGAACUUUUCAAUGUGAGGUGAAUUUGUGAUAUUUUGUAUCGAUAGUAAUAAAGGCCUAACAAUGUCGUUUUGGAUUACUUUCCCUUCUCACAUGGUUCUUCACUGCAUGCGGUUAAUAACAUUUCCAUUUAAACUCUCUUGGUAAGCUAGAUUUUUCACUUCGGCUUCCAGCACAUCACUGUACCAAAUAAGAGAAUAGGAUGAAAAUCAUUUUUCAGAAUUUGACCCUAGUGAAAGUUGGUGAUAUUGCUGCCUGUUCACACAGUGGUUUUACAUUCAGUGAACUCACUGGGUCUAACUUUACAUCAGAAAACCCUUACACGAAUUCCCUCAUUGAGGUGCUGAUUAUGUGGGGCCUGUACUUAUUUCAUUUCAAAUUGGUCAUGUGAUACAUUUUUUCCGUUGUCAUAUGGAAACUGAAAGAUGGAAUCUCACAAAAAACAUAA